Gallus gallus (chicken) is the source of this 23041-nucleotide long non-coding RNA. RefSeq lists it as uncharacterized. Lineage: Eukaryota; Metazoa; Chordata; Aves; Galliformes; Phasianidae. The record is from RefSeq and is a predicted model, not a curated record. The transcript has 11 exons.
GAUACAACAGAAGGAAGAGACACCAUCCAAUGGAACAGAAGCAUUAAAUGCACAGAACUGUAUGCUACUAAUCAGACCUAAACUUUCUGACAGCACUAUCAAAAAAGUAUUUUUUUCCACCAGGAUCUCCUCCAGUUGCUGCUGUUUCUGUGUUGUUUGACUUCUGUUUCUUCUUGUUCCUGUUAACAUGUGUAGCAUCUCAGCAGUUUCCUGAAUUCGAAGCGUAACUAACAAGACUCAGGUACAGCAAAACCUUCAUAACCUAGCAGCUAGGGAGGUGAUUAGAAGGUCUCUUCUCUAUCUAAAUGCUAUCACUCCAGAUUAAAAAAAAAAAAUAACAGAUUUCUGUAAUGACGCUAACUGUGAAUUUGUGGUGAUUGUGAAGCUGCUGCUUAUCAUAGAAUGGCUUGGACUGGAAGAGACCUCAAAGAUCAUCUAAUUCCCUCUACUGCAGACAGGGUUGCCAACCACUGGAUCAGGCACUUCAUCAGGUUGAAAGGCCUCUCCAGAAAGUAUUUUCUGGGGAAACAUCUCCUUUCAGUGGUCAACAUGGGGACACGGAUUUGUAAAUGAAUGAUUUCCACAUUCACAAAGGUUUUGCAAAUGAACUCUGGGAGAAUCAGAAAUAUUGACUUCUACAGUUGAAACACUGAUAUGAACCAAAUAAUAUUAUUGCCAGCUACCUGGCAUCAGGCAUCUGUUCAUAUAUGAGGGGCUGGCAUGCAAGUAGCAGAAAACGGUUUGUUUGGGUUCAAGCAUAGCACUGUCAAAGAAGAAAAUCAAAAACCUUUUAGGACUUGUUCUCUUCUAUGAGGAUUUGGAAAUCAGACUAUUUUCUGGGCUGUGGAGUGAUGACAGCAGUCCAGGAAUUCCUGCUGAGUCUGGACUUCUCCCUCAAGACUACUUUUAAGCAACCUGCCAGAAGCUGAUCCUUUCCUUCUCCCUUGUGUGGUUGGUUUUGUUUUUGUUUUUUGUUGUUGUUGUUUUGUUUUGUUUUGUUUUUUUGUGGUUUUUUUUUUUGAAAUUUAAAUCAGCUCUGCACUUUUGGUCAUUCCUGACUCUCUCUUUCAUGCUGGUUGGUUCUGGCUGGAUGAUUCUCUAUAGUGGACCAGGUAUGGGAAGCAGGUAAAAUCCAUGGCAGCCCUGAAACCCAGCUCCUAGUCCUAGGCCCUAGCAGAGGAAAAAGUGCUUAGACUAUUAAAUUCAUUUCUUCAUUUCUGAUUCUGUGCUGAAAAUUUACGAAGACUCUUUUUCUUUUUUUAAAGCAUUCAGAACAAAAGUAUUAGGAUGAUAGUUUCAAACCAAAAGCUAGGUCAUAGUGCAUGUCAAGCCACGAUCAAAGCCUUGAGGAGUUGUGAAAGAGGAAAAACUAGGAAGGAGACCUGGGUCUGAUGAGGCUGCUGUGGGAGGAGAGCUGCAUGAGAGAUUCUUGUGGUUCUCCAUCCCUCUAGGGUGGUUGUUUAACUAUGGGGUGACACUGGAAGAAGAGAAGACCUAAUCGUGAAUAGGCACCAUUGGAAGCACACACAUUUGUACCGAGGAGUGGGACUGCAACAGCUGAAAACUUGCUGUCUGUUGGAAUCAAAAGGGGAGCCAUUACAGGUGGCCAAGAGGACAUCUUCACUGCUCAUGCUGCCAGUUCAAGCAGGUGCAGCAUUAUAGAAAACAGCCCUGUGUUGUGGAGAUAAUACAGUGAAAAAGCCAUGGAUAAGGCUCUGUAUAGCUAUGUUAGUAUUUUUUCAUGUGUGUGGUAUGCCUUUCUGCAUGGGAUUGGCUGAACAGGGACAUGCCAACAUGUCCUGCCUGGCUCCAGUCUCCAGCAGCCAUUGGUGCUGGAUCCCUGGAAAAGGAGUAGUAAGGUAGUAUGGUGUGCAGCUCAGGGACUUUCUAAGCCUCAGAUAACACCUUUGUAUUUAACGGCCCUUGACAGAUUUCUUUUCUCCUGUGAGUUUAUUCAGCCUUUCUUGAAUUGCUGCAAACCUCUAGCACCUGCAUCAUAUUGCAGCAGCGGAAUCUGUGGUAGAGUGCUUAUUGAAUAACUGCGUCCAGCAACCAGCUUCAGGGCUGGGGUGAGCCUCUGCACCGGGGAACGCCAGCUCGUAGGCAAUUAACCCACAACUGACUGCCUUCGCCCGGGCCGCUCCAGGCCCUUCGAUCGCUUCGCGAGGAAAUCGCCCCUCAGCGGCGCCCCUGGGCGGGCGGCCCCGCGGCGGGUCCCUAGGUGGCGGUGCCCGCCCGCGCUCGGCGUCAGCACCGGUCUGUGAGGGGCCGGGAAGGGCGGGAAGCUGCCAGAAGCUGCGCUGCCUCCUUGGUGGCCCGUGGUUGUCUUUGUGUAUGUAAACAGGCCGGGGUGUAUUCUUCCAUCAGUCGUUAUUCCAUCGGUUUUCAAACCUAUAUAAACUUUUGGUAUCCUUGGAGUCUUGUGGUAAAUAUUCAGAGCUGAACUGUAAGCCGCUUGAAGGGGGAUCUCCUUUUCCUUGCUUUGAACUCAUUACCUCCUGGCUUUAUUUAAUAAAUGUGGCUCAGGUAUUCUCCCGGUGCUUUCUCGAUCACCUCACACAUUCCUGUCAGCGUUGUUGAUUUUCCUCAACGUGUUCCACAGAAACCUGGCUCUGAAAACAGGCUACCCUUACAGGUGGCUGACAACCUAACUUGAAAGCCCUGAGUAUGUGAGAAGGGUCUGCUUUCUCCGUACUUGGGAUAAAAAGAAAAGAGAGCAAGUGAAAACCACCUGCUUUUCCCAUUAAGGCCCCUGGGAACCAUCCCUUCCCACAGGCUUUCUGGGAAAUAACUCAGGAGCCUGGGAUCGAACCUUCUCCUUUCAGGGAGCUGCUGUUCUCUCACCCUGGGACAGAGGAGGGAGUAGAGGUGCCAGGAGGGAGGUGGGCAGCACUGCUCCACAGCAGUGCAGGCAAGUGAUGGCCACAGACAGGGUGCACUGCAGGCAUUGAGGAGGUGGGGAAGCACUGUGGAGAGGGUCAGGAGAGACCCCUUCUAGUAUGCAGAGUGCAGGGGAUGGCAAAGACAGAGGGACGGUUUGUAGGGGCACAGCGAUGGGUCUGUGAUCUGACAGGUUUGUGUUGCUUACUCUUCCUCGUGACUUGCACAGAUGCUAAAUCCAGGUCUGCUAAGCAUGCCACACCACUGUGGCCCCAAAACCAUUGCUAACAAAUAUCCCUUUCCACAGCAUCCAGGGCAGGGUACUUCCUCUACAACUUCUGCAGAUGUGGAGCAGGGCUCUCAAACUCACCAGGAAGGCCUGUUUGCAUUUCAGCAAGGUUUUUCCAGUUAGGAAAAAAAAGAAACAAAAACCAACACAAACUUUUGUGCCCACUAUCUUGGGGAGAAAAACAGGGAAGAGGAAUGUUCAGGGGCACAACGCAAGCUGACUGUGCGCUGUUUAUGAGUUCCUGUGGCUUACGUACAGAUGGAGGCUUGAUGGGAGGCAGUGCAUUGCACUAGUGGAAAGCAGAAAUGAUGAAGGUGAGUUAAGCUGAGCCCAGAUCACCGGAGGAUGACUGUGUAGUUUCGUGAAGCCUUUUCUGUGGUUAAGAUCGUGACAUAAAUGCAAUAAAGAGCAUGGUGUGUAUUGCUCAACUUUAACCGCACUGAGUGAGGCACAGUCAAAAAGAUCUCCACAAACUUCCCGAAACUUGAACAGAUAAUGCUUAAAUAACUUUGAGUAUUUCCCCUGUGCUGUUACAGGAGGUUGGUCAGGAGUGGAGCCCUUCCUUCAACCCCUCAAGAUGAUCCAGAUUAGUGACGCCCGGGUCUUGGUGGGUUUGGGGACAGACCCUAUUUGAAGGGAAGAAAAGGUGAAACUGGGUGACGACAAUAAUCAACUCCUUAGCCAGAUGCUACAAUGAGAAAGUUCUGUGCAGAUGCCUUCUGAGUGACAGUGAUGUGCCUGAAGAAGAAAUGACAGGAAGCAGAGCAGGGACUUGAUUGAGGGGAGCAUGAGCAAUGCUAAUCCUGCUGCAUUUCACAAUGACACAGGCUCUCCUGGGCAGUAUUUCCAGAUGGCAUGGGUCUCGUCUCUCAUUCUUUGUGUGUUUGUCUUCUCUUUCAAGAAAUUGUCCAGAGAAAUAAUCACACUGAGAUAAAAAUCUGCUGAAGUGUGAGUGCUGCAGCCAAUGACAGUGAGAACCAGGACAAGGGAAGGCAUGUAAUGUUAGCUUGUUAUUUUCCUACCCAUGGAAGACAAUGGCUGCUCAUUGAGUCCUCUCCUGCUUUGGUAUGGCUCAUUUAUUCACUGAUGCAGCCCAGGUGUGGCUAGGCAAGAUGAUGGGUUUGGCAGUGCUGACUGGUGAAGGAAGGCACAUUGCAAGGCAAAUGCACCAAGGAGAAAUCUUAGAGGCCUGGAGAAUGCAAGGCAGCUUUCCAUUUUCUGCUAAUGUGAAGUUACACUGAUGUUGAAGGAAAUCUGAUGGAAUCAGAAAAACCUUACCAGAAUUGUGUUUCUUGGGUGGUGUUCUACAUUGUUCUGUCAAGGCUGAUGGUAGUGACUGUGAAACAGAGUGUUCCGCUCAAGCUGCAUAACUGUAUAGCCUGGGGAAAACACACUUUUGGUCUGCUGGACUGACUGAUAGUGAACUGGAAAGCUCAGGGAAGAUGUGCUCAGUUUUGUGCCCCUUACUACAUGAAGGACAUUGAAUUGUUUGAAUGUGUGCAGAGAAGACCAAUGAAGCUGGUGAAGGGACUACAAAAGGCAUUAUGAGGAGUGGUGAGGAAACUGGGGCUGUUUAAUCUGGAGAGGAGUCUUAGAGGAGACUUCCUUGCUCUACAGCUACCUGAAAGGAGGUUGUAAUGAAGUGGGGGUCGGCCUCUUCUCCCAGGUAACAAUGAUAGAAUGUGAGAAAAUGGUCCCAAGAAGGUUUAGAAUGGAUAUUUGGAAGAAUUUCUUCAUGGAGUGGCUAGGCAUUGAAACAGUCUGCCCAGGGAAGUCUUCAUUCCUGGAGGUAUUUAAGAGAUGUGUGGAUGUGGCAGUAAGACAUAUGGCUUAGUGGUGCUGCUUGGUAGGUCAGAUAGAUGAUUGAACUUGAUGAUCUUAAAGAUCUUUUCCAACCUAAAUAUUUCUCUGUUUCUCUGACAGGGAAGAUAGUCUGAUUCCUUCUCUAAUUUCCCUUCCAAUAGGUUGAAUUUUCUAGGGUCUUGCCAUAGACAUCUAGGCAAAAUCAGGAAAAGGAGAGUUCUCAUGGUUUCUUAGGAUAUCAAUCGUUACAGUGUGAAUUGUUUGUUCCGUUGCACAUUGGGGUUUGUUUUGUAUUUGUAUCUUAUUGACAGAAAAGACCAUUAUGGCCCGGAGAUGGGAAGGAGAGGUGAUACAGGGAUUCUGCUUGAAAUCCUAUCCUUCAGGCAAUCAGAUGUUGCAGACACACGUCAUGUUUCCUUCAGACUGGGAUCAUUCAGUGCUGCCUGAAAUAGGAUAUGAGGAAAAUUCUUUGCCAGAGAUACCAGCUACUGUCAUCAAUACUGCCCAUCCAACACAGGCUACAGUGCCGUGUUCGUAGUUUAAACUCUUGGAGAAAAGUCUACCUUGCCUUCCACCCAAACCUGGGUUUUCAAACAGACUUUGGAACAGCUGUGUAGCUGGUUGAAAAAAACAUUCCACCUUCGUCAUCUUCGAGAAGCACCAGAUUUACCCUGCCUGUGUCUUGGAGUAUACAUGCUCACCCCAGUAAGGAUCCUUCAAGAGGUAACAGUACAUUAUACCUUGUCUAAAAAUGACACUUGAACCUCAGGCUUUUUUUUUUUAACUCUAUGUUGCAUGUAAGUACCUCGCAGCUGACUUUCAGCCACACUGCAGUUUUGUUUCAAGUUGGAAGAGUGAAACUACAAGGGUGGUAACUUAUGGAAAGGCUGGAUCCUCUAUGAGUGUUGUUAUCCUCCUAAACAGUCUGGUGGCAGUUAAAUUGUAAUAAAUAAUAUAAUCAUGACAAUGUGAUGAUGAUUUGCAUGUAAAUGUGAUGUAGAUUUAAGUGCACAUAAUGAUUAAUUUAUAGAACUAAUUGCUUCCAUGUAUAAUAUGGUACAUAACUGGAUAUUGUUUAGGACAUUCUUGGGGAAAUGAAUACAGAAAACUGGGGAAAUGGAGUACUAAAAAGCAUGUUUGAGGAGUGACUCUUUGGAGUUGUUUUUCCACAGAGUGAAGAUCAUCAGUGUCAUGUCAGUGUAGGAAAAGUAGACAAUGGUCUCCGAGCUGUUUCUGUCCUGUGGUUUGGCUGCUUUGAGUUCUGUGGCAAGAAAAGGCCUUUAGAUCAUAUCCUAAUGGAGAGUUACAUCGUGUUUCCUAAUUUCUCUACUGGUCCCAUUUGGUUAUCUCGCACUAAGAGUCAGAAGGGUUCCAAUUCAAACAGAAGAAAAAUGUCCUGGCUAACAGCAAAGCACGUGUUUUGUUGGUCUUCCUCAACUUGCCUUGACUAUUGCUAAAGCUGGAGUAGACAACAUACUGAACAUCUAGUGAAGGGAUAUGUCUUCACGUAACACUUCUCAGAGAAUGGAUAGCUGCUAGAGGCUAUACUGAAGUUCAGUCAUACCACAAAUCAAAACAACAGUAAUUUUAUGCUCCUCUAGAAAGAGCUAUGUUGUUAUUUUGAGCUGUUUGUGCCCUCCCGGACUGUGGGCUGGGCUGGUCUCUCUCUGAGGGGAUUAUGCAACCUCCCAAAACUUGGAGGAGGCCUCUAAAAGGUUCCUUGGAUUCACACCAGAAUGUCAUAGUGAGUUUCUAACAUCUGUUUCCACAUAGGUGUACAGGAGCAUGCUGAGUGCCUGGCCCUCACGUGCUGAUGGCAGCACCUUUAGAUGUUAAAUUUGGGCUGGGAGGAGGUGGAGUGGUGAUGCCGUUUCAGGCAGCUGCUGCUCAGUUUUUGCUCUUGGUGAGGGAAGAGCAGGCUCUCACUUGCUCACAUGGGGAAUGGUCUUUCCCACAGAGCAGCUGGAAGUAACCCCCUUGAGCUUUGACCUGGUGCCAGCCCUUUCUCUCAGAUGUCCUUGGUGGGCCCUUGUGGGAUGGGAUGAGGGUCCCACAGCAGACGUGUAAGGGGGCUGAGGGUGCAGGGUGUUGAGGGUGCUUUGAAUGAUCUCUUAUGGGAAUUCUGUCUUCUGUCCUUGACGAGAACUGCAUGUUGGAAAUGCCUGAGAGCUGGUGGUGGCAUCCCAGCCGUCCAUGGGGAGAUACCAUGAGGAGGAGUCCUGCAACUUCUGUCAGCGGGAAAUCCCUCCCUGGGGGCUGUGGGAAAUCAGUGCGAACCCCAUAAUGAACACUGGGGAUGCGGUUUGCUUUGUUUCCCAAUCAAGUCACUGUCAGCACUUCUCACUCCAUUCUUCCACACUGAGUCGGCCCAUCCCACUGGUGACGCUAUACCUUGAACGUUGUUGUCCUCUCACCACAGGGAAACUUCCUACACUGCUGCAGAGCUUCCCUGGGUUUAGGUUGGGAGAACCAGAGGUUAUGGCAGCUACUGGAGCUAGAUCACCAUUGUGCCAUGACAUUCCCAUUGAGAAAGUCUGUAGUGAGCUGAAUAAUGGGAUGUGGCAGUGUCCCACUGGGGCUGCAGAGCAGGGCUUGCAACAGUGACUGGUGUGGCAAAGGGGCUGUGUGCAGCCAUCCCCUUCCCACCCUGCAGACUGAACUUGGUGGUGGCUGUUUGGGAUUGUGUUUUGAUGCCUGGCACUUCUCCAGGUGACUGGUAAGUGCCUAGUGACGUGUGCUCUGAUUGGGAUGGACAGAGAUUGUUCUAACAUCCCAACUUGCAGCUUACAUCUGUAGGAAAUCCCAUAAACAAACUCACCUCUGGAGUGAGCUGCUGCAUUUGGUUUAUUUCCACUUCCCUACUCUUUUGUGGGGAAUUGGAGGAUUUUACCAAAAGCUGCAGGUUUUCAUAAGCAAACUAGUAAUCUCAUCAGGAGCUUCAUGAAUUCAGUGGAUGUGGAUAUAGUUAGCUAUGGAUAGGCACAGGUCAACAAAACCAGAAGGUAAAAGAUGCACUGGAAGGGUGACACAUCCAGUUACCACUAAGACUUUUCUUUUAACUCUCUUUCUCUUUCUUUCUCAAAUCCAGAUCUGUUCUGGCUCCCUCAGACCACUAGUACUGCUAGGUGUUGUUGGGAUUUGCUGGGAUGUGUGUGCUUUUUGUUGAGUGUUUAUCAAAUCUCAUAUUCCUUAAUCCUGAAGUGUUCCUGUCUGUAUAGCGAAAUCUAUCUGAAUUAAUUCUACUGAUAAGACUGGAGUAUGAAUUUCCUCCCUGCAUAACAGUCUGAGGGUCUCAUCUUAUUGAAUCACAAGUUUCUGACUUGGGAGUGGAGGUGCACAUGUGUGGGGGCGUCUGAGAUGGACUCUUGCCAUCACUGGGCACAAAUAUUUCCUUUGUAAUGCAGAAUACCCCAAAGGGUUUCAAAUGAACUGCAUCCUGACUCCCUCUACACACAGGCACAGGGGUCUGCCAUUAUGCUUUUUGCAGAAACCACAUUUCUAAUUUGCUGUUUAAAAAAAGGCGCAGUACAUCAACUGGUUUAUAACAGAGCAAACACUGUUUGUUAAAUCCUAUGCAGGUAAACAGCUCAUUUCCUUCCUGCUCUAUUGUUAAACCUCGUAACUCAAAAUCCGGUCACCUUAUUUCACAUUUUUUGGAGGUCGGAGGUAGGUGCCUGUUAUUUAAUGUCAAAAAAUGCUAUUGCUUAGAGCAUUUUAUAUUUUUGAAUGCUUGCAGACUUCUUUGCUAACAAAUGCUGGUAAACUGAAUGUAAUGUAUUUUCUUGCUGUUUGCAGUGCAUCUUCGUCAGAUGUCCAGCAAGCUUUCGUGUCAGGGGUGCCACAAAAUGAAAGCACUCUGUCCCUUUGGAUAGUAAAGUUCAAAGGGAAAAUCACCCUAGAACACUGCUAUAAAUUCAUUCUUAUAUUUUGAUUCUAUUACCAUAUGAUAAAGGACAGACUACUGUCCACUGAUAUGCAGUAGGAAAUGAAGGAGAUGAUGGACAUUGAGCUAUACAGAGGAAUUCCUACUGGCCAUAGUCAGCACAGCUGGCUACAGCACAUUUACUGGAAGAGGUUUUGGUGUCUGCCAAGUAGAUGAAGUUGAUGUCUAGGCAUCCAGAAAGCCCCAUGUGGCUCAAACUGAAUACUUAUUUACUCACCCCACAAACAAACAAACAGUAUCCCUACAUACAGGGAGAAGAGUCUGAUAAAUGUAGCUAUUUUCCCUGUAUGAGAUUUGUAACUCUUAUGGGAAGCAAUUGUUUUUGCUUCCUGCAGGUCUAGAUAAGAUUUCAUAGGAAGUGCUUCAAUAUGGUAUUGGUAACGGUAGUCUGUUCUGACAGUAGGAAGCAAUGGCUAAUUAAUACUGAAUCAAAAGAUGGUUACGAAAGGGCUGCUGACAAUCACGUAGUUUUCUCAUGCAUCAACAUCUGUUUGCUCCAGUUGGGCCAAGCCUUCCCAUUUCUGUAUUAAUUCUUGGGCUGAGUCAGUCCAAGUGAGUUGCAUAAAAUUUUGCCCAGUGAGCUUUUUAACAUUAUUACUAAACUGUGGUUAGUAAUAGCUUUAGUAUAUUUUUCCUUAAAAAUCAUUAUGUUCCAGUAUAGCAGGAAGGUUUUCUCUCUAGAGUGGAAAGUGUUUGAAGGAAACACAGUUGAGACAUGCUAAGAGCUGACUUCUACGUCAAUGUGGAGGACAGAGUGACAGCUGGAGGAGGACCGAGUUUUUUUGGGUUAAAAUCACAGACGUUACAUGGGAAGGGGGGACAGGAAUAUUUAAGGAGGGAUGAAAAUGAAAAUUUGUCUGAUUUUGAGUUAGAAAUCAGAGGAAGAACUGAGCCUGAGGGCAAGUCUAGGGCUGUAGUUCUGGACAGGUAGUCAACCAGAAAGCCAUACUGCAGAAGGGCAGACAAUAUCCCUUAAGGCUGUAGUGUGCUCACACCAGGUUAUGCAGUCAAGGUUUUUCACCUAAUCAGUGACUCACAAAAUUAUCUUCUUGUCUGUGCUGUUUUCCCCUUGCAGAGUUGCAUGACUUUCUGCAGAGUUCUGCAGCUCCCGUAGGUGAGAUGCCAAUAUGUCUGUCUGCAGGUAUUCAAUGGUUUGAAAAGGAAAGAAGGAUUGCUUUGAAGCUAAGUAUUAAACAUUAGUUCUAGCUUUUUAACUGUUUCUGCCAUUGCUUUCCUGUCUUUGGCCUCAAAAUAGCAGAGGUUAGUGCCCACCCAGAGCUGUGGGCAUCCACUGCCUUACAACCAGCAGCUCAGAUUAUGCCUGUCUCCACAAAAACUGCUAGAGCUACCAAAUGCAAUGCUUUCAGCCUACUUCUGGUCACGGGAAGAGUUUUCCAAGGUCUACAGACCAUCAGAGGCCUCUGUAAUCCCAAAGAGCUGGCACUCCUUUUGGAUGCUGGUAUGCAAAAUGUUGACCUCUAACACAGAAAACUGCUAUCAGAUAGGACCUUCAUAACUAAUGCCACUUAAAACAUCCCAGCUAGAAAAGUUAUUGAUGCGAUAACUAGGAAAGACCUCUGUCAAUACCUAACUAUAAGUUGCAGUCUAUUCAGCCCCAAGUUUACAGUUGAGAAAAAUAUGACUCAAGAGCCCUCAAUUGGCUGACAAAUAAUAAACACUGCUAGAAUCGGGGGCCAGGUUGGAUUCCAAGAUAUGGCAACAGAUGGGUCAGGUGGAUGGACCUCCCGAUCAGUGGGGCAGCAGUAAACUCUACCACCUUCCAACUGGCUAGUGGCAGUGGAACUCUGGCCAAGGGUGUAGGUAGCAAGACAACAGGAGCCACAAGUCACCCAGGCUGCCAUCAGGGUAAAUAAAGGCUGCUGUAAAAUGCACACGCAACCCAACAAAAACUGUUUCCCAGUCUUAUUAAUAAGGUUAUUUAGGCAUAAAAUGUCAGAUGGCCUGAUUCUGUAUGUUAAACAGGUGUUUCUUGAAGGGAAAAGUCUUUGAGAGAGUGAUUGCUAGCAUUUACUGAUGGCAGGACAAGAGGUUCCUCACCUGCUGCCACCAGCAGCCCUGAGUUGGGAGUGUGCCACAGGGCUUGGGUUGUAGUGUCACUAUACUGACACUGAGUAUAGCUUGGGAGUUCAAAAUAAAGCAAUUAAAAUUCCCUUUGAAAUAUUUGUGAAAAGAAUGAAGGUACUUCAGGAACCAAGCAAGGCAGAAUGAGAAAGAAAAAAAACAGUAGUCUUCCCGUGGUUUUCAGGAUAAACUUUUCAGUCUUCAGAUCAUCUUCAUUUAUUUUGUAUAAUAGAGCUCAAUUGCAAAUCCAGGUGAUUAACAAUUCCCUAAUUAUCUGUUAUAGUCAGGCGGGAGCCAGAGCAAAGUAAAGGUAACUUAAUACUAUUCCUUUCUAAUUUUAUUAAGAUUGAUUAUUGAAUAAUCUAUUGCUUAAAACAGAAUUACAACUUCAGAGAGUUGAACUCAGAGAAAGUGAACUGUUCAGUCUUGUACUUUAUGCUAAAGCAUAAUUCAAAUCUAUGAACAUUAUUCAGAAGGGAGCAAUAUUAAAUCCCCUUAACCCUUUGUCCCCUCAAAAUCACAAGCAGAUUAGAAAACUGAGCCAGAUGUUGGCUUUUCUCUUUUUUCCACAGAAAGCUGACUCAUGAAAUUUUGAAAUGAUAAAACCUUUGCCAGGAUGCUGUUGACAUGAGUAAUAAUUAACCAUAGAAUCAUAUAAUCACCAGGGUUGGGAAAGACCCACAGGAUCACCCAGUCCAACCAUCCACCCAUCACCAAUAGUUCUCACUAAACCAUGUCCCUCAACACAACGUCCAAACGUUCCUUGAACACCUCCAGGGUCGGUGACUCCACCACCUCCCUGGGCAGCCCAUUCCAGUGCCUGACCACCCUUUCAGAGAAGUAGUAUUUCCUAACGUCCAGCCUCAACCUUCCCUGGCACAGCUUGAAGCCGUUCCCUCUAGUCCUAAAAAAUAAAAAUAAAAAAUUAGAACAAUUAGCUGUAGUUAGUGCAUUAUAUAACCUUUCUUUUACUGGUACUAAAAUGUAGGUGUUGAGAUAGCUAUCCCUGAUGGCACCAGUAUGAAAUAUUCUUUGAAGAAAAAGGCUGGAUCUGGAAAAAUUGAAAUUUACAGAUGAAAAUCUUAGAUUUUCAGCAACUUCUUUCCUCCUUCCCCAGUUUUCAAGAAACAAGAAAUCCAAUGUUUAAAAGCCAAAUUUGAAAAGGAAAAAAAAAAUGUUGUGGCCAGAAAUCAGAAACCAUAAACAUUUAGCUGCACUGUGCCCUGAAACUUACUAUUCUAAGGUUCUUGGAGACAACAGCUGCAUGAGUGUAAGCUGAACUCUGAAGACUGAGGUACAUCAGGCACAUCUAUUCCUCUGUCAUUUUGCUGCUUUUGGCUGUUCUGUACAAACUUGCUUUGCCAUCGAAUGAGUACCCCUCAGAUGGAUAUAUUAUAGUAUGAGGAAAACUCACCAUCUGUUUCCCAGUAGGUGCAGUGACUAUAUAGACUAAAGCCGACGAAAAGUUAAACAAGAAAAUCUAAAUGUCAAUAUUUAGACUCUGGAUAAUGAAACUCCUUCAAACACAUCAGGGCAUGCUAAAUACUCCUUCAAUAACUCAAAUAUACCCAAGGAAUAUCCAAACACUUUUUUGAAGUGCACCCCUAGGUCUGUAUUGUUUUUCAGAUUGACUCGUUCAGAAAGAUUGAAUAUUGCCUGGAGCAGAGGCUGGGAUUUGUUUAACCAGUGUGCAAUGUUGAUAUGAAUCUCAAAUCGUUUUAAAAUAGCUCUGGGAUCUGAUCAUGCUUAACUUUCUUUGGUACAUGCAUUUAGUUUUCUUUCUUCUCACUUUUUUUUUUUUUCUGGUAGGUUUCUCUGUAAUUGAUGUAACUUAUUCCUUUCUUGUAUAGGGUACAAAUGUGUCUUUUUAUGCAACUUUUGCUGCAGCAUCCUUAUUAUCAGAAGGAAAAGAAAGGACAUGUUAACAUAUAUUCAGUUGGUUUUUUUUGGUCAAAAAACACAAACAUGCAGAAUUCUUCAAAACUAACCCUGACUGGACAAAAUACCUUUCAUCUAAUGAAAUCAAACAUUCAUUUUUUUCCUCAUUCUAGCAGCAGAAUGUUUAACAACAUGCAAGCCCGAUUGAGUGCCAUACACAGACAUCUGUCCUUACAUGCAACAAGUCCAUCUACUGAUGAAACUACUUUUGUUCCCCCUCAUCGGUCCUCAUGUUCACGCUGCUUGGAGGCUGAGCAGAUGACAGCACACAGAAAGACCCCCAUUUACUGUGACUGGGGAUUACCACCUGGUUUUCUGCUUCCAUUAGAAACUGAGCCCUAGUAAUAGUAGGCAGUGUGUGUGUGCUCAGAGCCAAAACAACACAGUGUUCCUUCUCCAGCUGAGCAGGUCUCUAUUUUUUUGAUUUAUUUAUUUUAAGUAUUUUCAAGUACUCAAUUCUUUCUAAGAGAACCUCCAUUCUUUGCCUUAUUAAUUGCUCUUAUUUUUUCAAAGCUGAGUGAGAACAAGUCCUGUGGCUUAGGUCACACUCAGAAGGAUCUUAUUUACUAAUGCUCCUGGCAAACAAAUUAGUGAGUGCCCGAUUACUGAAUGAAUUAAUGAGGAUUCCCAGUUCACUAUGCAGUUAUUGAGCCUAGUGGCUAUGUUUGGUUUUCUUUUAUAUGCACAAAGUUUACAAAAUUGAUACUGCUCAUCUGUAUUCUUCCAUGUGCUAUUGAAACAAUGCUCUGGCCACUUUCCUUACAACUCUUUUCAGCUGCUUGGCAACAUGAGUCCAUCAAACAGCUGGUACCUUUGGAGAGCAUUAAAAGCUCUGUAGUUCAUGCUUGAUGCCCAUACCAGACGUACUGUAGUUCCUACUGACGGUUCUGGUCUCAGCGUGCCUUAAAAAUAGAUAUCUUUAUAUUUCAAAAAGACUAGCCUGUCAUGCACUUAAGUGUAUUUAACAUGUCACGGCAUGGUUUGAAUUUUAGUACCUUAACACUCUGUGGUUCCUUUUCUUUUAGCUCUGAACAUUAAAAUCAGAUCCUUCUUACUUCCCUCCUUCCCACCAUGGUUUUAAUUUCAAUAUUUCCUUACUAUUAAAAAUACUGAUUUUAUUACACUGAUUCUGAAAUAGUGUAUCCAGCAGUAGGUACUUUUUUUCCUGAGUGCCUGUAAGCGAGUGUUCAUGAAGCUAUGCACAUGUACGGCUUGCCUGUGAGUACACUGUAGUGAGGACUUUCACUUGAGCCAAAUAAAACCAGAGCAUCUUUGAUUUGGUUUCAUUAUUGAAAAACACAUUGUUACAAAUAACAUUUCAGUGUGAAUGAACCGGAGAGCAUUAGGGAACUUAGAAUAAGUCUUGAGACGAGGAGGUAAGACAGAAUACAAAGGUUAUCUCGUCUCUUUCAAAACCUAGAAGGAAGAGACUGGAGUGUGUAAGUACGUGGAGUGAGACUGCUUGUAUGUAUUUUCCAAACACACUUAAUGUCUUAUGUUUCCCCAUUUGAAUAAACGAGUAUCCAAAGAUUAGUAAGGGAUCUGUUACAUCCACUUCAUCUCCUGAUUUUGGAAGCUGAAAGUUUGUUUACUGCUUGGGGACACAGAAGGAGUAUUUUCCAUUCAGGGUCCUCCCUUUUCUCCUCCAUCUUUCCCAGAAAAUGUUGGGAUUCCCAGAAUAAAUUCAUAAUUGUGGAGCAGCUCUCACAAUGCAGCCAUUUGCCUGCAGCUGAUUUUCUUGGUCAGAGGCUGAUCUGUGCAGGGGCUCUCUUUGCAGACAUGCCCAUCCACAGCAGUCUGGUGAAGCAGGACAGGUUACUGGAGAAAAUGCAGCAAAAAUCUGAACCAUCAUCCAACAGUCCUCUGCUUUGCUUUGGGGCAGGCAAUGGGGCCUUGCAGGUAUGUUUGGAAGGAAAACCCCUAGCCAAUGGUUAUUAGGGAAGCUGACUGAGGAGGGCUGCUUGUUCCCAUACAUCUUCGUGUCGUUCCUACCCCAGACAGAAACCACCCCAACCUCUCUCCUGCCAUUCAGUUACCUCAGUGUCUCCCCCACAUCUCUGCAGCCGUGGGUUUGUUUGUUUCCUGGAAGGAGGAGCAAGAGGGUGCACCAUAGAGUGCCCUGCUGCAGUGCGUUCCAUAGAAAUAGAUUAAGACAAAGCAGUCAGCAAUAAUUGCAAAAUAACCCUGCUCUGGAAUCAGGCAAGCUGCCAAAGAGCAUUUAUGCAAAAAAAAAAAGAAAAAAAAAAAAAAGUAGGAGAAUCAGUACUCCCAAACAAACAGCUUCUUUUCAAAGUCAGAGUCAGUGCAGCCACCGCCACACACUGAGACAUGCUGCUCUUCUUCAGCAGGCUUGAGCUGUCAAAUGCAUGAUACCCUUUUGGUGUUAGUACUGUCAUUGUCGCUGGCAGGACCAUGAGGCGGUGCAGGUCUGAAAUUCAGCACCAUGGGAGAUGUGCUACGUUUGGGUCAUUAAACUGUCUUCUCUGGGUCUGCCCUCCCAGACAAGAGGGAAGGCAGUGUUAUCAGGAGGUGCUGCCUGCUGGAGCAUGGGGUGCCCUCUGGAUGGCAGGACCUUGGCUCUACCAAACAGCCCCACGCCCUCAGAACAGAAAACUCAAUGUUCUGUAUUCUUAUGGCUUGGAACAAGCAGAUAUUUCAUUACAAACUGUACAUUUCUAAAUGGAUCUGUCUUGCACAACAUCACUAUGCAUUUAGCAAUUCACUCUGAUUAUCGCUUUAUGACAUUUUGCAUCUGCUUCUGUUAAGGCAGUGAAGUUACUGUAUAUUUUCUUUGAGUUGUUUCAUUUUAAAAUAAAUUGUUUCUGUGCCUGGCUGUCAACAGCUGCAUUUCUCAUUUUAUGCAUUUAAUGUAUGCUCAUUUUCCGCAGUGUGUCCCAAUACUAUAGCUCAGCUUCUAACUUGAGACCACAGAAAUCUUUCAAUUAAGCUCACAGAUCAUCUGUUCUUCAAGGUUUUUACCCAGACUCGUGGAAUUUAAUCUUGAUUAACAAAUAAUUCAUCUUAACCCCUGGUAAAAGCGUUGCGGCUGUUAGGGGAUCUUUAGGGGAUUUUCUCAGCAUGCCCAAGAGCUUUGCAGCCAGAAGAACUGGUACCUGUGGGUGACGUAUAGGGCUCCUGAGAGUCAGCUGGUGUCACCCCAUCCAUCCUUUACCCAGAUACUCGUGUCAGCAGCCAACCUCAGGUGGGACCAGCAGAUCUAAGUAUGGGACGCACACAGUGAGGGAGAUGGGGAUUCAAACUCACCAGGGUGUGGUAUGUAACCACGGUGCUGCUUAGCACAGUAUGAAAAGCCAUAUCGUAUUAACAAAAUAAUGAAAGACCCAAGAAAAACUUAGAAUAAGGUUAUGAUAUUUUUAAAGGCAGCAUUCUUGUGAGCUUAUUUUCAUAAUUCCAAAUAAGAUGCAUUUUUUCUGUGAAGUGUUUCAGUCAGUUUUGAAAUAAUGGUAUUCAGUGUACAAAAUACUGUCUAACGAUCUCAGUUAUAAUAUCUACUGAAAGCAGUUGACCACAAAGUUUCUGAUGCUGAUAGUUUCCUGAUUUCUUUUUCCCAUGGUUCAUCAGCUCCCUUUUUUAAGUGUGAACUGGUGAUCUCUUGUUUAUUUUUCUCUCUAAGUUGUAACUGUGGGAAUUUAACCUGGUCCUGGACGCUGUUGUACAGUGCUACAGACCUGGGCUGGCUGGCAUACUUUGACACUGAUGUGCAAUUACUCAGCUGCUAAACGACUGAGCAUUCCUCUAUGCUCUGCAUCACUCUUCUGCUGCUUUAACAACAUUCAAGGCGGUAAUUAAUAAUUAGCCAUAUGUUGAUAUCUGGUUAGUUCAAAUACCCUGAAAAAAUGCCUGGGCAUCUAUUAUCAGCUUGAACAAACUCAAAGAUUUAAGUACCUUGGGUGGAAAAAUUGAUAUGUGUCUAUGUGAAAUGAGGAAGUUUUCUCACAUUGCUGCAUGUGCCAGCAAUGUAUGGCAGCUGACAGGCUGCUGCCAGCAGCGGCUUGCUUCACCAACCAGCGCCCGUACAAUACUCCAUGCAGAAAGGCUUGAGCAAAGCACCAGUAAUGCGUAAAGUAAUUUUCUGUACCAAGGAGAACACGGGCACCUCAGUUAAAUACUUGUUAAAGUAUUGUUUUGAGACUAGAAACCAGCACAGGCAGAUGUUGUCCUCUAGAAGAAAUGUGAAGCUGUGAAUGACUGCAGGGGUGACAAGGCACGCCGGUCCCUGAAUGGUGUUGUGUCAGGAGAGCUGUGCUGACUCUCACCCAUGGUGCGGGUUGAGCCCUGUGGGCUGCCGGUUGCAACAAAGGCUUAAUUCAUGUUUUUUCUUCCUCGAAGGGAGCAAGAGAAAGAAACAUAAGUAAAAUGUAGCAAAAACUGUUGUGAAACAGGCCGUCGCUGUUCUCUGAAAAACAAGUGGGUGAGGACUCAUUUUUGGAGAUCUUUUCAGAGCAGCAGCACGGUCACCAGCUCUGUUCCUCCAGGGGCGGUCGCUGCCUCAGGAACACCGAGGACUGGAAUCAGCUGCCUUCUUAGAAGAGGACGUGGUGCUGACCGUGUGCCACAAAACAUGGCUGCUGUACAAAACCACAAGCUAUUUCCCACUCAGAGGCAAAAUGCUUAAUAGUAGCUGUUCUUGCAGUAAUUGGAAAAGUAAUUCCAAUUCCCAUUUUUCUGGAAAAAAUAUCCCUGCUUGCAACUUGUCUUCUUGAAGAGCAGUUUGGAAAUCAGGCCAGCUGAUCUGACAAAAGCUCAGAAGCCAUUGGAAUGAAAUGUAUUCUUCGCUCAGCUGGAGUCAGAACACCACGGUCUAUUACUGAGUGCUGGUUAGUGAAAAAUCAAAUCAUACCAAUUAUUCUAAUUUAUUAUAUUACAUUUGAGAUUUUAUUGUCAAAUUUUAUUGCAAAGACCUCUCCCUCACCGAUGGUACUAAGUGAAACACUCGGACAUGUUAAGGUUGACAUGAGAAAUGUUAUGAACUGGUGUGACUAGACAAGAAACAAAACAAGAUAUUGUACCUGGAGCCAUGGUGUAAAUUAAACUAUGGCUAAUUCUUAAAAUGCUUUGCCUACAGUGCAAGAACAGAUUCACCAUCAUCUGAAGUCUUACACAGUCAUCCAAAGAAGUGGAAAAAUAGGCGUGUCUAUUGUAUUUCCAGGAAAUUACCAAUAUUACCUAUAAGCAGUGGUAGCAACUCCACAGUUUCCUGUGAAAGUGAGGCCUCUGCUACUCUAGGGGCAAGAAGCACAUGCAGGAAGAGAUAUUUCUGGUCAAAACCUUGCAGUCUAAAGGAGUCUCCUUGUACAAAUCUGCUGCAGACUCAUGUUACUGCAGCAGUGCAGCACAACAGAUGUUCUUUGGCCAAAUCAUCCGGUGUCUCUGCCUCCUCUGCUGUGAAGUUGUACUUUGGCACUUCCUUUGCCAAUGUGCAUGAGCAGAAACCGUGUGGGAGAAUAGGAAGCACUAACCUGAUGUCACUGUUCACUGUAUGGGCAAUGCAGGAGAUCCCUGACCUAGAAGUUUACAAAGACAAGUCUCCACGGGCCUGUAAUGGGUUGAGAUGAACCAGACAAAGGUGUGACAUGGCAGCCAUAGCAUUUUUCAGCAGUAUCUUCUUACAAACCAGCAGUAGACACAGUUGUCUGAGAGCAUCGAGGAACUUGGCCUGUGCUGAUUUGAGCAGAAAACAUAGCAAACAGGAAGAAAGACAGAUAGAGCCCAGAGGAGGCAAAGUGGCAAGCUUCUUUUCCCUACUUUCUCUUAUGGACAGCAUCUACUUCCUUUUAUGGACAACAUCUGUUUCCUCUUAUGGUCGAAAAACAUCAGCUUGAGUAAAAACACCAUCUUGAGUAACUCUACUGGUUGAAAAACACUGGUUUGAGUAAUUCACUGAGGAGGAGGCAUGACCACCAGAGGUCCUCGCUGAAAACUCUUGGAUCUUCUAGAACACCUACCCGCGCAGACAGAGCUGGGAGGGGACAGAAUCAGGACAGGUGACUUUAAAUGGUGAAAGGAAUAUUCCGUGCCAUAUGAUAUGAUGCAGAAGGAGAGCUUUGAAGGGGGUUGGGAGUUCAUCUCUCUCUCUUCCACUGCUAGGAGUCUAGCUGGGUAUUGGUCAGUUGGUGGUGAGCAAUUGCUUGUACAUCACUUGUCAUAUGCACUUAUAUAUGUGUGUGUGUUUGUGUAUGUAUGUGUAGUCAUAACUGUUAUUCUUUUUCUUUUAUCUGUCUUAGAAAAUAAUUUUAUCUCAACCCAUGAGUUCUACUUUUUAUUUUUUUUGCUUUCUGAUUCUCUCCCCCAUCUGACUGGGAAGGACAGGGUGUGAGUGGAUGACAGUACUGUGCUUAGCUGCCUGACAGAUUAAACCACAACAAAUGUGUAUUGACUGUUGUUAGAAAGUUAUCCAGUUUUGCCUCACACUUGUUGAUUACUGUUAGAAAGCUCAGUAAAUUGCCUUGUAUUUUUUCUGAGUCAUUGUCAUGACCCUAUCACUCCUGCAGCCCUGCUGAGCAGGAAGUGCCCAGUGUGGGGGAUUCCAAAUAUUCACCUCUCUCACAAGCCACUGAGUGGGAUGAGAGAACAGUUGAGACUUGAUUUGCACUACUGCUUAUUCCAGAGGUGCACUCACGUUGAAUAAGUUUGGUUUGUGGAUACAAGCAGCUGCUAGAGUAGUCAAGCUGACUUGAAGGACAACUGCAGUGCACAGUGGACUCCUUGUCAGCAUAUGUGGGCUUGAUGAGUUCUAGAGGGUGCCUGUGAUCUCAGAUGUGAAAAUGAACAUUCAUUUAGUGUCCAAUUGAAAGGUUAACUCCAGUUGACCAACCAAACAUAUCCAUCAAUAGAAAACAACUGAUAAUGUUUUCUAUGAUUCUUAGCAGCAGCACUGACAAAUUUCACCACAGAGAACAGUUCUGUUGAUUUUGGCAGCGCUCUUUGACCCUCGAGAAAGUAGUUAUUGCAGUAAUUUUUAGUGCUGAUUUAUUUUAAGGUGGUUACUCCAAUAUUUUGAAGCUCAGUAGUUAAAAUAGUGGGAAAAGCAUGGGAGUGCACUUCUUGCAACUGGAUGAACCGUAUAGAACUUCAUUGUAUUGCUCAUACCUACCUAUGUUGUUGUUACUGCAGGUGCCUUAGCAUGCCGUGCCAGUGGUUUCUUGCAAGAGCAUCAGAACAAAAUUAUAAAUGGAAGUCAGGAAGCAAUAACUGAAUGUCAAAUAGCUUUAUGUGAGGUCACAAAAAUAAUUUGGAACAUACAGAGUUACGGGCUUCAGGUUUUCUUAUAUGUAUAGAUCUGUGUACAUGUGUAUUCUUAUAUAUAUAUAUAUAUAUAUGUAGGACAUUGAAAGUAAUGCCUCCUAUUUAUUUCCAUGGAAAUAACAGAUACAAAGAGCACCAAUAGCACUGUUUGAUAGAGUGAAUUCUCAACUACAAAAUGCUAUUUUUCAACAUGGUCACCACCAUUAGCUGUGCAUUUUCACCAGUGAUGAACAAGAGCCUGCUUAUGUGAGUCUGCGUCAGUGGAGGUGACGAACUGUUGCUGUUGCCACAGCUGAAAUGCACCACCCACCGCCUCACUGUGUUGACAUCCACAGUUCGGUCUUCAUAAAUAUUCAGCAAAUGUCAAUGAAUGUCAAUGGGUGCCAAUUUUUGUGCGUGGAGGAAUUCAUUGACGCAUCUUUGCUUCAUAUGCGCUUCCAUGUCAUACUCCAUUCUGUUAGACUGCCCCUACGCUGUCAUCGGUCGCACAGCAACGUAACGUAAUAUAAUACUGAUGGGAAGGUUAAUCCUGUACUGUCAUAUAUCCAACAUCUAUCUCUAGCAUUGCAGGCAACUAAUUAAAAUAGGAGGCAUUAGUUCUGGAACAGCCCUUGUAUACAUGUGUGCCACAGAAAGCCACUAAAUGAAAUCAUACUAUAAUAUAAUAUAAAUUAAUAUAAAUUCUGCAAGAAAAUGGAGGAAUUUCUGUCUUCGUAUUUUGCAAAAAUGUUUUUGUUAGACCGCUGCAUCAUAUCUUUAAAAGUGACUUUUAUUCUGAAUGUGCCAAAACCCAUUAACUUUUCAUGAGACCUUUCGAAACAGGAUUUAAACUUUUCAAUCCAAUUGCAACAUAUUUUAUUUGAAUGCACAUGCUGAAACAUAAAAUGAUGAAAACAAUUAUUCCUGGAAGGUAUUAAAAGGUUGAUCUGUAUACAUAAAUUAAAUUAGGGCUCUGGCAAAGGUGCAUUACAAGCAAACAGAUGCAGUAUAAACAUCAUUCCUUCGUACUCCUCUAGCAUCUAGUGCCAAGGUCCUCUAAUCAUUUUAAGUCUCUUCAGACUGUUGCUGUGAGAUAGCCUGCCUGUACUCAAUUACACAAAUAUUGGGAGGUUAAAAAAAUCAUUCAGAGUGCAAAAGUGAAUGCUUGAGAAAGUCAGAAAAAGAAGGUCAACACAGAAGACAGUGAAGGCUGCAGGAGCUGUGGUCCCAGGGACUGGCUGUUCAAAUGCAUGAGCAACAAGGAGAAACCUUAGGGGAACUUUACUGCCAAGAAGUCUAAAGGCAUUUCAACAGCACAUUUGUGGAGAAUAAUUUUGCAAAGACUUAUAAACUGACCAAAUUGGGAAGGUUUUCCUGGGAUUAGCGAAAGAUUCAGCCUUGCCAUGAAAACUACUUUUCUGCCAGACUUGAUGUUCUGCUACAAAGCAUACUUUUCCUAAUGGAAUAAAUGUUACCAAUGUUUCUUGGAUAUUCAUGUUGUUAAAUAACAACAAUAACCACACCGAAACAGCUCUCCAACAUGGAAAAUUUCUAUAUUUACACAGGGCAAUGCUAGCUGAAAAUCAAGGUGUCAAAACAGGAAGAAUGAGGCAACCCAGCAGUGGUCAGCAUUACCUAACCACUAUGCUGUGGACAUGCAUCCUGCUUUCUCAAGUGCUCAGGCUGUGCCCUCAGAUGACACAAAGUGGAAAUGGUGUCCAACUCGAGCUGCUCAUCACCAAAACAUGGUGCUGGAAGCAACCAGGCCUUCUGAGGUCCUCCUGCCCACUGGAGUGCUAUGUGCAGCCUUAGGGACACAGAUAUUGCUGGACCAAAGCUUGAUGCUGUGGUGGUGGAUACUGCACCAUCCAAAACCUCCACCCUUCAAAGCAAGCCAUACAGUAGUGGAACAGCUUCUACCUACUGCUCUCCCACACUGGGGUGGGAAGAAACCAGGAGGAUGGGGACAAGUGGCUGAGAGAGCUUUGCAAGGAGCAACUGCAUGUGAGGAGGAGUCUUGCUUGGCAAGUUGCCAUCGACACUCGGUACUGCUAUGUACCUUCUGCAUGGAGACUGCAGAAACCUUGCGAAGCUCCAUGGUUGCUGCAAAGCUGAACUGCGAGUCUGCAUGGUGUGCAUGGUGGUGCCACUAGAUGUCCCUUGUCACCCAAGUGAUGUUGGUGGCUCAUCCCCAGUGCUAUAUGAUGUAGCACUGUAAAGAAAUCAGUGUUUAAAGCAUUCGAUAUAGAGAGAUGUUGUGGCUGUCUCAAAAAGAAGACUUGUGUUAUCCUCAGAAAGCUGACAUCUUGGCGAGGACAUCUGUGCCACUCAGCAUGCCUAUGCCCUUGCACAGCUUCACCUGGGCUUCUGUGGAGUGAUUCCUGCUCGCCCUUGUCCCCCAUGGUGCUCUGUGCACCUACCAUUGCUGUAUGAGUAGGGGGAUGCGCCUGUCCCCAUGCUGCCCUGAAAGCUUCUGUGCCGUGUUAUCAGCCCCAGGAUGUGUCGCUGCAGUGUGUGAUCGCGCAGACCAUGCUGUUGAGUAUUCAGAGUCACAUACGCUCGCCUGAAUGACUGAAAUGAAGUAUUUGCUGCUUUCUACUUCAUUUAAACCUGCGGGAGCUGGUAGUGCUCAUCCUCCCCACACACUGAGGUAUCCACACGUGCCACUUGCCAGCCUGGGGCUUCUUCCCCAAGCAAUGGCUGAGCAAAUCUCUUAAUAACAGAGCAACUACUCGCAGAUUAUUGUGAUCAUAAUUUGGCUGACAUAGCCUUUAUUACUAAUGGCAAUGCUGGAAAUGGAAAACCCAGCUUGAUGCUCAGCUCCCUGCUGGAAAGUAAUAAAAUAAAGAGGAACAAAAUCA